UUCCAGACUCCUACGGGAGGCAGCAGUGGGGAAUAUUGGGCAAUGGGCGCAAGCCUGACCCAGCAACGCCGCGUGAAGGAAGAAGGCUUUCGGGUUGUAAACUUCUUUUAUGAGGGACGAAUAAAGUGACGGUACCUCAUGAAUAAGCCACGGCUAACUACGUGCCAGCAGCCGCGGUAAUACGUAGGUGGCAAGCGUUAUCCGGAUUUACUGGGUGUAAAGGGCGUGUAGGCGGGAAUGCAAGUCAGAUGUGAAAACUAUGGGCUCAACUCAUAGCCUGCAUUUGAAACUGUAUUUCUUGAGUGAUGGAGAGGCAGGCGGAAUUCCGUGUGUAGCGGUGAAAUGCGUAGAUAUACGGAGGAACACCAGUGGCGAAGGCGGCCUGCUGGACAUUAACUGACGCUGAGGCGCGAAAGCGUGGGGAGCAAACAGGAUUAGAUACCCUAGUA
RNAcentral lists this ribosomal RNA (449 nucleotides) under uncultured bacterium. Its description in RNAcentral is "bacterial SSU rRNA". It matches the Rfam family "Bacterial small subunit ribosomal RNA", at positions 329 to 792 of the family's 1533-position model. The record is from RNAcentral.